Molecule: non-coding RNA, 281 nt
Organism: Paramuricea clavata
Lineage: Eukaryota; Metazoa; Cnidaria; Anthozoa; Malacalcyonacea; Plexauridae
Source: the annotation of a GenBank genome assembly
CGCGUUGGAACCUUUGAAGUUUUUGAAGCCGCGCAUGUCGCCUCGCGCAUACCGGAAAUUGCCCGCUCUAAUUACUCGCAGCCAGUAAAGCCAGUCAAUUUAUUAGAGAUUUGUAUUGCAGAAUGGCCAUUUGGCUGAAUAAAUCGACUAUUUUUCGCAAACGAACGAUUCAAAUUACAAACCACGGCUGCUGGUUGUAAUUUGAAGGUUAGUGAAUACAUUUCUGUUGGUUAUGAGCUGUUAAAGAAUUGCUAAAUGCGAAAUUUAAACGUAUUAAUACA